CCUACGGGAGGCAGCAGUGGGGGAUAUUGCACAAUGGGGGAAACCCUGAUGCAGCGACGCCGCGUGAGCGAUGAAGUAUUUCGGUAUGUAAACCUCUUUUGCCGGGGAGCAAGGGCCGGGACGCGUCCCGGCCCGGAGAGUACCCGGAGAAAAAGCAUCGGCUAACUCCGUGCCAGCAGCCGCGGUAAUACGGAGGAUGCGAGCGUUAUCCGGAUUUAUUGGGUUUAAGGGGUGCGUAGGCGGGCUUUUAAGUCAGCGGUAAAAAUUCGGGGCUCAACCCCGUCCGGCCGUUGAAACUGGGGGCC
This 305-nucleotide ribosomal RNA is filed under the name uncultured bacterium. Its description in RNAcentral is "bacterial SSU rRNA". It matches the Rfam family "Bacterial small subunit ribosomal RNA", at positions 338 to 641 of the family's 1533-position model. The record is from RNAcentral.